UCACGACGAGUCCUAGAUUGGGCAUAGGUGACUUAAGUACAUAGCUAGCUACUUUUCUUACAAAGGCACUGGUUCCCUCGGUCCCGGUCACUGGCUCGGCUAUCUGCUACUCA
RNAcentral lists this microRNA precursor (113 nucleotides) under Mus pahari (shrew mouse). Its description in RNAcentral is "microRNA 695 (MGP_PahariEiJ_G0007371.1)". Lineage: Eukaryota; Metazoa; Chordata; Mammalia; Rodentia; Muridae. The record is from RNAcentral.